AUACGGAGGGUGCAAGCGUUAAUCGGAAUUACUGGGCGUAAAGGGCGCGUAGGCGGUCUAUCAAGUCAGUUGUGAAAUCCCACGGCUCAACCGUGGAGGUGCAUCUGAAACUGAUAGACUUGAGUAUGGGAGAGGAAAGUGGAAUUCCCGGUGUAGAGGUGAAAUUCGUAGAUAUCGGGAGGAACACCAGUGGCGAAGGCGACUUUCUGGACCAAUACUGACGCUGAGGCGCGAAAGCGUGGGGAGCAAACAGGAUUAGAAACCCCAGUAGUCC
Molecule: ribosomal RNA, 274 nt
Filed under: uncultured bacterium
Lineage: Bacteria
Description: partial 16S ribosomal RNA
Rfam family: Bacterial small subunit ribosomal RNA
Source: RNAcentral